Molecule: ribosomal RNA, 77 nt
Filed under: Karenia brevis
Lineage: Eukaryota; Dinophyceae; Gymnodiniales; Kareniaceae
Description: partial 5.8S ribosomal RNA
Source: RNAcentral
UCUGGCGCAAGACGCCUGCAGCUGUACCAGGGCUCAUCUUCCCAGCAAUCAGCGAGUUGGGGGCCGAUAGUCCCACA